Molecule: ribosomal RNA, 468 nt
Filed under: uncultured bacterium
Lineage: Bacteria
Description: partial 16S ribosomal RNA
Rfam family: Bacterial small subunit ribosomal RNA
Source: RNAcentral
GACGAACGCUGGCGGCGUGCUUAACACAUGCAAGUCGAACGAAAAGGCGCGGCUUUUGCUGGGUUCUCGAUUGGCGAACGGGUGAGUAACACGUGAGUAACCUGCCCUUGUCUUUGGGAGAACUUCAGGAAACAGGGGCUAAUAUCGGAGAUAAGCUACUGCUGCAUGUGGGUGGUUGGUAAGUGUCGGCGGUGGGGGAUGGACUGGCGGCUUAUCAGCUGGUUUGUGGGGUAGGUGCUUACCAAGGCUAUGACGGGUAGGCUGCAUAAGAGGGUGACCGGCGACAUUGGGACUGAGAUAGGGACCAGAAUCCUACGGGAGGCAGAAGUGGGGAAUAUUGCACAGUGGGCGGAAGUCUGAUGCAGAAACGCUGCGUGCGGGAUGAUGGCUUUCGGGUUGUAAACAGCUUUCGAAUGUGCCGAAGAGUGAGUGACGGUAAUGGGUAAAGAAGCACCGGCUAACUACGUG